RNAcentral lists this ribosomal RNA (2641 nucleotides) under Salmonella enterica subsp. enterica serovar Oranienburg. RNAcentral's name for it is "bacterial LSU rRNA". It matches the Rfam family "Bacterial large subunit ribosomal RNA". Lineage: Bacteria; Pseudomonadati; Pseudomonadota; Gammaproteobacteria; Enterobacterales; Enterobacteriaceae. The record is from RNAcentral.
ACUAUCAUUAACUGAAUCCAUAGGUUAAUGAGGCGAACCGGGGGAACUGAAACAUCUAAGUACCCCGAGGAAAAGAAAUCAACCGAGAUUCCCCCAGUAGCGGCGAGCGAACGGGGAGGAGCCCAGAGCCUGAAUCAGCAUGUGUGUUAGUGGAAGCGUCUGGAAAGGCGCGCGAUACAGGGUGACAGCCCCGUACACAAAAGCGCAUGUGCUGUGAGCUCGAUGAGUAGGGCGGGACACGUGGUAUCCUGUCUGAAUAUGGGGGGACCAUCCUCCAAGGCUAAAUACUCCUGACUGACCGAUAGUGAACCAGUACCGUGAGGGAAAGGCGAAAAGAACCCCGGCGAGGGGAGUGAAAAAGAACCUGAAACCGUGUACGUACAAGCAGUGGGAGCACCCUUUGGGGUGUGACUGCGUACCUUUUGUAUAAUGGGUCAGCGACUUAUAUUCUGUAGCAAGGUUAACCGUAUAGGGGAGCCGGAGGGAAACCGAGUCUUAACCGGGCGUUAAGUUGCAGGGUAUAGACCCGAAACCCGGUGAUCUAGCCAUGGGCAGGUUGAAGGUUGGGUAACACUAACUGGAGGACCGAACCGACUAAUGUUGAAAAAUUAGCGGAUGACCUGUGGCUGGGGGUGAAAGGCCAAUCAAACCGGGAGAUAGCUGGUUCUCCCCGAAAGCUAUUUAGGUAGCGCCUCGUGAAUUCAUCUCCGGGGGUAGAGCACUGUUUCGGCUAGGGGGCCAUCCCGGCUUACCAACCCGAUGCAAACUGCGAAUACCGGAGAAUGUUAUCACGGGAGACACACGGCGGGUGCUAACGUCCGUCGUGAAGAGGGAAACAACCCAGACCGCCAGCUAAGGUCCCAAAGUCAUGGUUAAGUGGGAAACGAUGUGGGAAGGCCCAGACAGCCAGGAUGUUGGCUUAGAAGCAGCCAUCAUUUAAAGAAAGCGUAAUAGCUCACUGGUCGAGUCGGCCUGCGCGGAAGAUGUAACGGGGCUAAACCAUGCACCGAAGCUGCGGCAGCGACGCUUAUGCGUUGUUGGGUAGGGGAGCGUUCUGUAAGCCUGCGAAGGUGGCCUGUGAGGGUUGCUGGAGGUAUCAGAAGUGCGAAUGCUGACAUAAGUAACGAUAAAGCGGGUGAAAAGCCCGCUCGCCGGAAGACCAAGGGUUCCUGUCCAACGUUAAUCGGGGCAGGGUGAGUCGACCCCUAAGGCGAGGCCGAAAGGCGUAGUCGAUGGGAAACGGGUUAAUAUUCCCGUACUUGGUGUUACUGCGAAGGGGGGACGGAGAAGGCUAUGUUGGCCGGGCGACGGUUGUCCCGGUUUAAGCGUGUAGGUGUGUGUUCCAGGUAAAUCCGGAACAUCAAGGCUGAGGCGUGAGGACGAGGCACUACGGUGCUGAAGCAACAAAUGCCCUGCUUCCAGGAAAAGCCUCUAAGCAUCAGGUAACAUCAAAUCGUACCCCAAACCGACACAGGUGGUCAGGUAGAGAAUACCAAGGCGCUUGAGAGAACUCGGGUGAAGGAACUAGGCAAAAUGGUGCCGUAACUUCGGGAGAAGGCACGCUGACACGUAGGUGAAGUGAUUUACUCAUGGAGCUGAAGUCAGUCGAAGAUACCAGCUGGCUGCAACUGUUUAUUAAAAACACAGCACUGUGCAAACACGAAAGUGGACGUAUACGGUGUGACGCCUGCCCGGUGCCGGAAGGUUAAUUGAUGGGGUCAGCGCAAGCGAAGCUCCUGAUCGAAGCCCCGGUAAACGGCGGCCGUAACUAUAACGGUCCUAAGGUAGCGAAAUUCCUUGUCGGGUAAGUUCCGACCUGCACGAAUGGCGUAAUGAUGGCCAGGCUGUCUCCACCCGAGACUCAGUGAAAUUGAACUCGCUGUGAAGAUGCAGUGUACCCGCGGCAAGACGGAAAGACCCCGUGAACCUUUACUAUAGCUUGACACUGAACAUUGAGCCUUGAUGUGUAGGAUAGGUGGGAGGCUUUGAAGUGUGGACGCCAGUCUGCAUGGAGCCGACCUUGAAAUACCACCCUUUAAUGUUUGAUGUUCUAACGUGGACCCGUAAUCCGGGUUGCGGACAGUGUCUGGUGGGUAGUUUGACUGGGGCGGUCUCCUCCUAAAGAGUAACGGAGGAGCACGAAGGUUGGCUAAUCCUGGUCGGACAUCAGGAGGUUAGUGCAAUGGCAUAAGCCAGCUUGACUGCGAGCGUGACGGCGCGAGCAGGUGCGAAAGCAGGUCAUAGUGAUCCGGUGGUUCUGAAUGGAAGGGCCAUCGCUCAACGGAUAAAAGGUACUCCGGGGAUAACAGGCUGAUACCGCCCAAGAGUUCAUAUCGACGGCGGUGUUUGGCACCUCGAUGUCGGCUCAUCACAUCCUGGGGCUGAAGUAGGUCCCAAGGGUAUGGCUGUUCGCCAUUUAAAGUGGUACGCGAGCUGGGUUUAGAACGUCGUGAGACAGUUCGGUCCCUAUCUGCCGUGGGCGCUGGAGAACUGAGGGGGGCUGCUCCUAGUACGAGAGGACCGGAGUGGACGCAUCACUGGUGUUCGGGUUGUCAUGCCAAUGGCACUGCCCGGUAGCUAAAUGCGGAAGAGAUAAGUGCUGAAAGCAUCUAAGCACGAAACUUGCCCCGAGAUGAGUUCU